AUACGGAGGGUGCAAGCGUUAUCCGGAAUCAUUGGGUUUAAAGGGUCCGCAGGCGGACUGAUAAGUCAGUGGUGAAAUCCCGUAGCUUAACUACGGAACUGCCGUUGAAACUGUCAGUCUUGAAUUCGGUCGAAGUGGGCGGAAUGUGUCAUGUAGCGGUGAAAUGCAUAGAUAUGACACAGAACACCGAUAGCGAAGGCAGCUCACUAGGCCUGAAUUGACGCUCAGGGACGAAAGCGUGGGGAGCGAACAGGAUUAGAUACCCUAGUAGUCC
RNAcentral lists this ribosomal RNA (274 nucleotides) under uncultured bacterium. Its description in RNAcentral is "partial 16S ribosomal RNA". It matches the Rfam family "Bacterial small subunit ribosomal RNA", at positions 523 to 796 of the family's 1533-position model. The record is from RNAcentral.